RNAcentral lists this ribosomal RNA (321 nucleotides) under uncultured eukaryote. RNAcentral's name for it is "partial 18S ribosomal RNA". It matches the Rfam family "Eukaryotic small subunit ribosomal RNA", at positions 1470 to 1796 of the family's 1831-position model. The record is from RNAcentral.
CCCUUAGAUGUUCUGGGCCGCACGCGCGCUACACUGAUCAGUGCAACAAGCAUCCGUCCUUGGCCGAUAGGUCUGGGUAAUCUUUGAACGCUGUUCGUGAUUGGGAUAGACCUUUGCAAUUAUGGGUCUUCAACGAGGAAUUCCUAGUAAACGCAAGUCAUCAGCUUGCAUUGAUUACGUCCCUGCCCUUUGUACACACCGCCCGUCGCACCUACCGAUUGAAUGGUCCGGUGAAAUCUCGGGACGGCGGCUCGGUCGCUUGCGUCCGACUGCUGAAACUUGAUUAAACCAUAUCAUUUAGAGGAAGGUGAAGUCGUAACA